This 1039-nucleotide small RNA is filed under the name Drosophila virilis. RNAcentral's name for it is "GJ25583". The record is from RNAcentral. Lineage: Eukaryota; Metazoa; Arthropoda; Insecta; Diptera; Drosophilidae.
GUCUUUGAAAACAUUUUUUCACAAAUCUAAACAACAAUAAAAUGUUUAUUUUAACAACCUCAGUGAAUACUCAAUGGAUGAAACAGAUAUGUCGCCGGGCUGAGUACGAGGCAGGCAAAAGCAGAGGACUUGAAAAAUUCCCGUAGAGUGCGUAGCUUGCAUAUAUGCAGGCGGACGCAGGACGAACGCGUCAUAAAACAACAAGGACAGAGCACCAAAAAUAUUUACAAAAAAAAAUACGCUUAAAUGCAAUUUUUGGCAUAUUUCUUUUUCGACUCAUAUGCAUGCGGCGCCUGUGAUUUACGAUGAUGCAAAAGGAACUCGAAACAGCAGGACGAAAUGCAGCCAGACAGUUGCUUAAUGCUCUUUGAAGUGCAACAUGCAUCCGGCGCCGCGGUGGGCAAUUAAAAGUCAAUCCAAUAAAGCCACCAAAGUGCAAUUCAUACAUCGUUAAAUAGCCCCUCCAGCGCAACACUCGCAGCUUGCCCAGCAUCAAAGCCCCGUCGGUAUUGCUGGCGGGCAUUGAAACUGGAGCUCGAGCCGAAAUUGUGACCCGCCAAUGUGAUGGGAGUUUUAUGUUCUAUUUAUGUUGUGCAAACGAUGCCCCAUAAUCGUAAAAAUAUCAAAACAAAUCGUUAAAAUCGAUCGUCGUGACGUUGUCGUCAUUUGGCGCUGCUUCCUCGAUUCGAACUCACAUUCAGAUUCAGAUUCUCGAGUCGGGGCCCAAGAAUGUGAACGGCUUCAUUUGCGGAGUUUGGAGUAGCGUUUGGGGCGCCCACGGCUGUCGAUAUCCACAUAGAUGUUUCGUUUCGUAAGUGGCGCGGGUCGACGCGUGUCAAUUGAGUUGCUUUGCUCCCGCGCUUAUUUGUAUUUGAUAUUGAAAGUAUCCAAGCGUGUGUGUGUGUGCGUGCGCCCGCCCAUAAACAACAUGCCACUGGGGCAUGCUACGUCGUUGGCAACACCAAUGCCAGCCAAAAGGAGCUCAUAAAUUUUGUGACUUAAUUAAGUUGGCAACACUUGAAAAUUAUUUGAAUUUUUA